Molecule: ribosomal RNA, 861 nt
Filed under: Peptostreptococcus anaerobius
Lineage: Bacteria; Bacillati; Bacillota; Clostridia; Peptostreptococcales; Peptostreptococcaceae
Description: bacterial SSU rRNA
Rfam family: Bacterial small subunit ribosomal RNA
Source: RNAcentral
GAUGAACGCUGGCGGCGUGCCUAACACAUGCAAGUCGAGCGCGUCUGAUUUGAUGCUUGCAUUAAUGAAAGAUGAGCGGCGGACGGGUGAGUAACGCGUGGGUAACCUGCCCUAUACACAUGGAUAACAUACUGAAAAGUUUACUAAUACAUGAUAAUAUAUAUUUACGGCAUCGUAGAUAUAUCAAAGUGUUAGCGGUAUAGGAUGGACCCGCGUCUGAUUAGCUAGUUGGUGAGAUAACUGCCCACCAAGGCGACGAUCAGUAGCCGACCUGAGAGGGUGAUCGGCCACAUUGGAACUGAGACACGGUCCAAACUCCUACGGGAGGCAGCAGUGGGGAAUAUUGCACAAUGGGCGCAAGCCUGAUGCAGCAACGCCGCGUGAACGAUGAAGGUCUUCGGAUCGUAAAGUUCUGUUGCAGGGGAAGAUAAUGACGGUACCCUGUGAGGAAGCCCCGGCUAACUACGUGCCAGCAGCCGCGGUAAUACGUAGGGGGCUAGCGUUAUCCGGAUUUACUGGGCGUAAAGGGUGCGUAGGUGGUCUUUCAAGUCGGUGGUUAAAGGCUACGGCUCAACCGUAGUUAGCCUCCGAAACUGGAAGACUUGAGUGCAGGAGAGGAAAGUGGAAUUCCCAGUGUAGCGGUGAAAUGCGUAGAUAUUGGGAGGAACACCCAGUAGCGAAGGCGGCUUUCUGGACUGCAACUGACACUGAGGGCACGAAAGCGUGGGUAGCAAACAGGAUCAGAUACCUCGGUAGUCCCAGGGGCGAAUUCCACAGGGGAUAUUAGGCUUAUCGAUACCCUCGACCUCGAGGGGGGGCACAAGUACCCCGCUUUUGUUCCCUUUAUUGAGGGUUCAUUUA